GGAAGGAUGGCACAGUGGCUUAGUGUCCCAGAGUGGGACUUGGGAGACCCGGGUUCAAAUCCCUGUUCUGCCA
This 73-nucleotide transfer RNA is filed under the name Chelonia mydas (Green sea turtle). It matches the Rfam family "tRNA". From Rfam's summary of the family: Transfer RNA (tRNA) molecules are approximately 80 nucleotides in length. The record is from Rfam by way of RNAcentral. Lineage: Eukaryota; Metazoa; Chordata; Testudines; Cheloniidae.